GAUGAACGCUGGCGGCGUGCUUAACACAUGCAAGUCGAACGAAGCACUUUACUUGAUCUUUUCGGAGUGAUUGUUUUGUGACUGAGUGGCGGACGGGUGAGUAACGCGUGGGUAACCUGCCUCACACAGGGGGAUAACAGUUGGAAACGGCUGCUAAUACCGCAUAAGCGCACAGUACCGCAUGGUACGGUGUGAAAAACUCCGGUGGUGUGAGAUGGACCCGCGUCUGAUUAGCUAGUUGGGAGGGCAGCGGCCUACCAAGGCGACGAGCAGUAGCCGAGCUGAGAGGGUGAACGGCCACAUUGGGACUGAGACACGGCCCAAACUCCUACGGGAGGCAGCAGUGGGGAAUAUUGCACAAUGGGGGAAACCCUGAUGCAGCGACGCCGCGUGAGCGAAGAAGUAUUUCGGUAUGUAAAGCUCUAUCAGCAGGGAAGAAGAAAUGACGGUACCUGACUAAGAAGCACCGGCUAAAUACGUGCCAGCCGCCGCCGUAA
This 497-nucleotide ribosomal RNA is filed under the name uncultured bacterium. RNAcentral's name for it is "partial 16S ribosomal RNA". It matches the Rfam family "Bacterial small subunit ribosomal RNA", at positions 28 to 523 of the family's 1533-position model. The record is from RNAcentral.